Molecule: long non-coding RNA, 514 nt
Organism: Labeo rohita (rohu)
Lineage: Eukaryota; Metazoa; Chordata; Actinopteri; Cypriniformes; Cyprinidae
Exons: 4
Source: RefSeq, a predicted model, not a curated record
CGCACUUCCAACGGGAGCUACUGUGUUGGUCUAGCGGCGAUAACAAACCUCAAGAGGGCGAUAAAGUUACAUUCAGAUGUCUCUGACAUUAAACCAGAUGUAUUAUUAUUCAGAUACUCGACAGGUUUGAAGUGAGGCCCGCUGACCUGUAGAAAUGAGCACUGCGGCAGAAAACAGGGCGAUCUCCUCUUCCGUUAACUGGAGUGAACACAGACUCUUGGCAAAGUCAAACACUGCACUGACCAGGUCAUCACAGCCUGCAGGAGAACCGUGUUGUUGAGAGGGUUGAAUGCCCGGCACAUUCUGACCAACACUACUUCCAGACAACCUGAGUAUGUGAGAAAAGUGUUAAGCAGGCCAGUCGUAAUCAGCGUAUAUGUUGAAGAGGUUUUGGCAAAGUCCAUGGAUUGCUGUAACCCCUGGAUGACGACUAACAAAUGCACAGAAGAAAAGGCACAUCUUUCACUGACCUUGCAGCCUUCACAUGUGAUGACUCCAUAGUGGAUGCCUGAUG